AGAAGUUCUAAAAGGUUUGUUCAUUUCAUGUUCACACCACUCCACGUGCUUCCCUUCUGAAGCUGAGCACUGGGUCAAACAGGAGGAGACCUUCUCCAUAGAGGAAGACCAUUCUUCCCUCAGGGUAUAAGAGCAGCUGCACUUCUCUGCCACAACCUCCAAACUCUCAAAGUUCAUUUGUAGAAGAAUAAAGGGUAAUCAGGUUGGUAAAAUAAUCUUUUUUAAUUUAAAAAGAACUUU
Non-coding RNA from Felis catus (domestic cat), 240 nucleotides. It matches the Rfam family "7SK RNA". From Rfam's summary of the family: 7SK was discovered as an abundant small nuclear RNA in the mid-70s but a possible function has only recently been suggested. Two independent studies have found that 7SK RNA binds the CDK9/cyclin T complex (known as elongation factor P-TEFb). The record is from Rfam. NCBI's taxonomy places the organism in Eukaryota, Metazoa, Chordata, Mammalia, Carnivora, Felidae.